AAGUUGGAAAAGGUGUAUAUGAUGUAAAUAAAUAUAUAAAAAAUACAGCAGGGAUCCAUUAAAGUGGAAAUAGUUUUUAGAUUAGUAUUGAUUGCUAUCUGACAGUGAUUAAAAUAACAGUCGUAAAACACUUUGAUGCGUAUUUAAAACAUAUUUAAAAAUAAAUUUAACACAUCUCCUAAAAAUGGCAUGACUUUUAACAAUAGAAGUGAUUAAUAAUAGACAAUAAGUUACCGGAACUGUUUUCUUUCUUUAAUCAUAUAAUACAUUUAACAAGCUUUAAUUUGAAAUAAUUUAGAGUUAUAAAUAUAUAAUAGAUAAAAGUGUUAUUAUCGUGGUCUAAAAAUACAAAGAAGGUUAGAAAAUAAAUUACAACUAAUUGAUUAAAGAUCAAAAGUCAUUGAAUUUGUCAUAUCUUCAUCACUCACUGCAGAGGGCGUCGAUCACUAAUACAUGUAAUGCUAUCGAUUUAUAUACCACAUUUGUUUGAUAAGGAAAAUGCUUCUCCUAAUAAAUGUCUAUAAUUUUGAGAAAAAAAAUAUCUUCAUAAUAUUUAAUAAACAAACAACACUAAAAAGAAAUUGAAGAUGUUGAUGUCUUGCUUGGCUUACGGAUUGAUGACCGAAUUGAUUCAACCUUUUUUCAAACGUAUUUGUUAUCUAGUUGCAACAGGAUGUGUGUGUCAAUUAUUUUUUAAAAUUUUGUUAAUUAUUAGUUAUAACUUCUAAUUAAUAAAAUUUUUUUUUGUACUUGCGUCCUAUUGCAACUAGACAAAACACAUAUGGUGCAACAAAAAUUUAUUUAUAGCUAAAUAAUGAAUGAACUACAGGAAAAAAUUACUGUCUCAUAAUACUGAUAGAAGAAUUGGUAUGAAUAUGAUAAUGUUAAAAUAUAAUAAAUUGGAAGUUGACCAAUUAUUUACCACAUUAAUAUACAAUGCUUAAAAAUAGUUGAAUUGAUAAGUUAAUGGCAAAUUAAACAUACCUAGUAUCACACGAUUUGUAUUAUAAUUUAAAAAAUAAAUGAUUUACAGAACCUGAUCUUAGCUGAUUGUUGUAAAAGUAAGAACACUGUAGUAGCUAGAUUUAUUU
Molecule: long non-coding RNA, 1091 nt
Organism: Daktulosphaira vitifoliae (grape phylloxera)
Lineage: Eukaryota; Metazoa; Arthropoda; Insecta; Hemiptera; Phylloxeridae
Exons: 4
Source: RefSeq, a predicted model, not a curated record